Rattus norvegicus (Norway rat) is the source of this 1316-nucleotide non-coding RNA. The record is from RefSeq and is a predicted model, not a curated record. NCBI's taxonomy places the organism in Eukaryota, Metazoa, Chordata, Mammalia, Rodentia, Muridae.
GAGCAGUCAGUGCUCUUAACCCCUGAGCCAUCUCUCCAGCCCUAAAUUUUAUUUUUUUAAGUACUUAUUUUUAUUUUAUGUGAAUGGGUGUUUUGCCUGCACGUAUGCAUAUGCAAUAUGGACAUGCCUGGUGCUCACAGAGGCCAGAAGAAGGCUCCCUAUUCUCUGGAACUGAAGUGACAGGUGGUCGUUGAGUGUUGGUGUUCUGUCUAAGCUCCGCCCCCACAGCUACCUGGCAUCAGCCAGGUAGGUAUGCUCCGCCCCACAGUUGCCUGGCAACAGCCAGCUGUGCCUGACACUAUAAAAGGAGCUGCUUGGCCCCUCCUCCCUCCCUUCUCCCCUCGUGCUCUUUGCUCUUCUCUGUUCUUGCCCCUAUCCCCCCUCCACGUUCCCAUGGCCGCCGCCUUCCCUCUCUUCGACUCUUCUCUCAUUAAAACCCCUCCACGUGGCACCAUGUUUGGGUGUCUUCUGUUGGGGCACACGGGCCGAGAUCUAAAUCCUAACAGUGAGCUGCCACGCGGUGCUGGGAAUUGAACCCUAGUCCUUUGGUGUUAACCACGAAGCCCCCUCCGCAGCUCCACUGAAGAGCUUUGAGGCAAUGGGAAGCACAGAGACCACCAUCCUGAGAGACAUCGAACCAAGAAGCAUGGAUCUCCAGAAGUUCUCAUUGUGGAAAAAAUACGGCACCUCCACCCCCUUCACAGAGUGGUUGACUCAUAGAUCCAUCCGUUUUCCUGGAACUUUAAAAAUAGAACCAUCAUAUGACCCAGAUAUUCCACUCCCCGGCAUGUACCCAGAGGACUCCAUACCCUGCCACCGGGAUGCUUUGCUGCUCUCUCUAUUCACAGAAGUUGGGGAAUAGAAGCAACCCAGAUGCUCAACAACCGACGAAUUGAAAGUGAGAUGUAGCGUGUGUGUACACAUGCGCGCGCAAGCACACGCACACACUCAUACACAUGGGAUUUUAUGCAGUAGCAGAGGUCUCACUGGUGUUUCCAGUGUGGGUCUGUAACAGAAUUGAAAAAGUUAAGGAAGGAGAAACAACCAUUACACUUACUAACACCUCCAGAAGCCUGAAUGACAGAAGUACCUUUCCAAGCAUAGCCUCUGAGAGCCGAACAGAGCGGCCUCUUUCCAUCAGCCUCAAACCUUUGCCUUGUCUCAGUAUCCACAGCUGCAGUCCCCACGUGAAGGCUGGUGUCCCCACAUUGUCCCGUGGUCUCAUUGCCUGGUCUGGGUGUGUGCGUGCGUCUUCUCAGCACACAAGUUACUCCCAUGCAGGGAGGGAGGCUCCAAAUACAGCCAUGCUCCCUAAA